RNAcentral lists this unclassified non-coding RNA (1277 nucleotides) under Mizuhopecten yessoensis (Yesso scallop). RNAcentral's name for it is "uncharacterized LOC110460342, transcript variant X3". The record is from RNAcentral. Lineage: Eukaryota; Metazoa; Mollusca; Bivalvia; Pectinida; Pectinidae.
UUCAAUAUAGUCUCGUUCAACAAGAUUCUUGUUGCCUGCGCACGCUACGCCGAAUAGAGAGUCUGGUCAAACGCAGUGCUUUCGUUUUUUGACAUCAUAACGAGGCUUACCGAGAUUCUGGGCUACUGAUUUAAAUGGUGACAGUGGUGUUGUCUUACAUCUGGAUCCUGAUGACGAUUGUUUUGUCCUAUCACUCACAAGAAAUACAUCCUAUUAACCUGGUAUCGAGACUGACAUCACAGCAGGGGGUUUGAACUUGUCACACCAGUCUACAGAACAGUAAGACUUAAAUCAAUGGAUGUUGAAGGCGCGGUCAAGCAAGUGUUUUGCCUGUAUGAGCGUCAUGGUAGCGGCGACUAUCUUGGAGAGCCAGUCAAUUUGACUGGUCACAUGAUUCAGUGUGCCGUACUAGCAGAACAGGAUGGCCAACCUUUGGAGGUAGUUCUAGCGGCCUUUCUCCACGACAUCGGUCAUUUGGUUGGCACGGAUAAGGGGCUUCGGACGAUGAUAACCGACGGCACCAACCUCGGAGCCAUGGACCACGAUGUCCUAGGAGGACAGUUCCUUCGCAAGCUAGGAUUUCCGGACAAAGUGUGUGACCUGGUACAGGGACACGUACAGGCUAAACGUUACUUGGUGUGGAAAAACAAGGAGUACUACGACAACCUCAGUCCUGCCAGUAAAAUGACUCUUGAACAUCAAGGAGGACGAAUGAAUACAGAGGAAGCCACAGCUUUUGAAAACAAUCCUCUGUUUGACUUGAUCAUACGCAUGCGCUACUGGGACGAGGCCGGGAAGGAAGUUGACGUUACAAAUGUGCAUCUAGAAAAAUACAGAAAUCUUUGUUUUGAUUAUUUAACAAGCAUGCGAUAACUUUAUCACCGAGAUUGGGAAAAGAGUGAUUUUGUAGUUAAGUAUACCCUCUGGUCCAAGAGGCGUCACAUUAUAUAACAUAGCCGCUAUAAAACGAUGUCACAGACACACACACCUCUCCUAUCAGUGAUUUUCCAUAACGUACCGUUGUUAGUAGGGAACAGACUGAUCUUAUUUGUCAACAAGAUUUGAUGGAAUUCGUUUGCUUUUACGAUUUUCUUCUACUAAUGAAAUGGAUAAGGGCGUAGUUUGUUGCUGUUUAAGUUAGGCUUGCAGCUUGUUGAAAUAUGUGUAAUACUACAUGCCUGUGUUAUUUUAUUUGUAGUUCAUUACACAUACUAUUGUUUGGAUGUAGUAUACAAUAAAGCUGAAUUGUUAUUACAAUUCCUCAGCACGAAAAUAGA